UGUGUGGGGGGGGUGCCUAAUUACAUGCAAGUCGAGCGGACGGAUGGGAGCUUGCUCCCUGAAGUCAGCGGCGGACGGGUGAGUAACACGUGGGCAACCUGCCUGUAAGACUGGGAUAACUCCGGGAAACCGGGGCUAAUACCGGAUAACUCUUUUCCUCACAUGAGGAAAAGCUGAAAGAUGGUUUCGGCUAUCACUUACAGAUGGGCCCGCGGCGCAUUAGCUAGUUGGUGAGGUAACGGCUCACCAAGGCCACGAUGCGUAGCCGACCUGAGAGGGUGAUCGGCCACACUGGGACUGAGACACGGCCCAGACUCCUACGGGAGGCAGCAGUAGGGAAUCUUCCGCAAUGGACGAAAGUCUGACGGAGCAACGCCGCGUGAGUGAUGAAGGUUUUCGGAUCGUAAAACUCUGUUGUCAGGGAAGAACAAGUACCGGAGUAACUGCCGGUACCUUGACGGUACCUGACCAGAAAGCCACGGCUAACUACGUGCCAGCAGCCGCGGUAAU
Molecule: ribosomal RNA, 510 nt
Filed under: Cytobacillus firmus
Lineage: Bacteria; Bacillati; Bacillota; Bacilli; Caryophanales; Bacillaceae
Description: bacterial SSU rRNA
Rfam family: Bacterial small subunit ribosomal RNA
Source: RNAcentral